ACCCCUUUAGUCGCGGUUCGAUUAUUUUGGGGGCUAAUGGGGGCGUAUGGAAGCCUCUUUUUCUACUAGUGGUAGGACCCACUCACCGCUCAAACCACUCCUACCUUAUCUCUUCAGAACCAGUUAUUCCUCAUCCUUUUUCUUGGUAGACAGCCAUGGGCGACAUCCAUCCUGCUCUCGCUACCCAACCCGUGCGGCACGGCCAUGGGCGCCGUGGCAGGGAAGACUAGGGUGCAUGGGGCUGCUCGGCGCUGCUCCACGGGAGGUGCCGGGCGCUGCUGUAGAGUAGACGGAGGAAGGGGGAGAGGUGAAUCGGGAAAGGUACAACCAUGGCGGCGGGGGGAACUGCGAACGGCGGCGCUCGGCGCUACAGCCGCAACGACAAAAGCUACAUCCGGUGGCGCGUGGAGCUGCAACCAUGGUGGCGACCGGGAGCUACGACGCCGACGAUGCUGGAACUGGCCAGUUUUUUUGCUGGAACGGGCGACAGGAGGUGCUACGACCGUGGCAGCAAAAUGUUGGAACCAACAGCCAUGGCCUCCAGCAGAUGAGGAACCGGCUUUUUAAAAAGCUUCAACCAUGUACUGGGAAGCUGCAACCGCAUGCACGAGAGCUGCAAGCCGUCUACACCGGAGCUACAACCAGAGGCGCCGGUCACCGGCGAGGCUGCAAGCACGAGCACUCGGAGUUGUAGCCGACAGCGAUGUAUGCUGGACUGGAGAUGAUGUGUGCUUCAACGACGGGAGAUUGAAACCUGCUGCGAGGUCCGGCGAGCGGCAUCAAUGGAGGGGGCGUUGCUGGCCAUGAAGCGUGGCGGCAGUGAUUUUUUUUGCGACCUGCGCGACGAGGUGAUGCGAACCCGGGAUGCCGAAGGUCUGCGGCGGCGAUGAUGGUGACUAGCGGUGCUGGAGCCGCGGGCGCGUGCCCGGUGGCACGUCGGUUGGUGCGUGUGGGCUGCACUUUGUUCACGAUCCACUUUUUCCGGGUAGGGAUAAUCAGUGCGUGGAGACGUUGACGUUGACUUUGUGCUAUGAUUAUCUGACGGC
Long non-coding RNA from Aegilops tauschii subsp. strangulata, 1046 nucleotides. RefSeq lists it as uncharacterized. Lineage: Eukaryota; Viridiplantae; Streptophyta; Magnoliopsida; Poales; Poaceae. The record is from RefSeq and is a predicted model, not a curated record.